UUUGCAGCGGAAAUCUUAUUACCAAAUUUUACAAGUUACAAAAAUUUUACAUUAUUUUAUCGGAGUGAUUACAAAAGUAUAAGUUUGAAAUAUAUGCUAGCUCAAGUGACCAUCCUCAAUAAGAAGAUAAAGACGGGGUAUACUUAUAUAAGAAGGCCGAGCCCACCGGCGCUUAACACCAUCAAUAGCAGCACAAAACUAUAACCUGAAAAACAACGGGGAAUAAAACCCUGAGUACAGAAUUACUCAGCAAGACUUACCCGACUAAAGAAAAGACUCUCAAGGGUAUGCUGGUUUAAUAGGAAUCAAGGAAAAGGCUUUAGCAAGAAUCAACUAUGAUAUUUUUGCAGAAAUAGCUUACUAAAGUGAAUCCUUCCUUUCAAUGUUUUAACGUCAGAUUAAAUAUUAAUAGACUCUGAUUGCAUCUAGUCUAAUUUCAGCAUCUCAUCAAUACAACACCAUUUUUAUUCAUAAUGUUCACAUCCUGACUUAGGUUGCAGGGCAGUGACCAAGUCUCCACUGUCCGGGGAUAUAACGGCGAUCCGAAUCGAUUUACUCAGCUGAGGAUCUCUAACCACACGACAUAUGUAGCACUUAACCCUUGCAUAUGUCAACUCGUCACCGGGGUUCUUAAGACCAGAUCAGGUUCACGCCAACCGAGAGCACAGAUACACCACCGUCCAGCCUCUUGCCACGGAGGGUACACGCUACUCUCGCCAUCUCUCCACUCCCAUUGCGUGUUAUCUUAUUCUGGUAUUAGUCUGCCCGAGGCAAAGCUUACCCUGUCCCAUUUCCAGGGCAUGUGGCCAGUUAAGAUAGUCCUUGAUCAGCAAGCCUACAUACGCAUCCAAUCCUUAAUCAACCUGGGUAGAACAUCACCUGUUCCUAGCCCAAGUCCCGAUUUAAGUACUUUCACCCUUAGGAUUGUUUGUAUUCCUUAGGAUGAAAAGAGCAUCAAAGGGAACUUUGCAGUAAGAUCCCACCACGCUCUCAAUGAAAAUAUUCUUGCAGGUAGAAGUCAUCUUUCCUUAGGAUAACCCCUGAGCUAGGCCUUAAUGCAAAAGACAACCUCUAUCCACAAGAUCUGAGCAGGGUUAAGCAAUUUUUCAAAUAAUACUUGAUACUUCACCAGAAGUAUCUAUAAAAGGAAUGGAUUUCAAGGUAGCCAAUGCAUCAAAGAGUUUCCAAGCAACUCCUAUAAACCUAAUGCACAUUCACUAGACUUAAAGUUUGUAAAAAUAAUUUAAAAACACAAGGAAGGGGUUGCAUGCACCGGGGCUUGCCUUAUUGCAGUGAAGAGGUUCUAGAUACUUCUACCCCAUAACCAGUUAGAUAGCUCCAUCACUUGAUCAGCAGACACUGGAGUAGACUCCUCUUCAGAAUCUCCUUCUUGGCACUCUACAUGAAAUGUAUGCCCAUGAAUGCUUAUACUCACGUUAUGAAAGUGCAACGUGUAAAGAAGACAAUAUUAAGCACUUCCCACUACACCUUCCCACAAGGUGCACAAAAAGAUUAACAAAAUAAUAGGGGAUCUAGUAACACCAGGAAUCCAAAGUCUACACCUUCAAGCUAUGACAACCAGGGGACUAGAACACACUAGAUUUCAUCCAAAGAUCAAGAUCUCACUUGAUAAACUUGGCUCUACAUUCCCAAGCUCUAAUCCAUUCUUGGAUUAGGGAUUUAUCUUAUCUAUUAAGGACCUUGCAAAGCUUUCUGAGAAAAUCGCUUACAAACAGCCUCAAACUUUUACCACAAGCUCAAAUGACCAAAACAAGGUUACUCAGAAAUUUUCAUAAGUUUGGGCACUGUACUUUUAUUUCUAAAAUCCAAACAGUCCUUCCAAGAGCACUUUUAAAUCCCUUAAUAUUUGGUAACCGACCUAAAAAUCCGAAAACCGACUUUACCAGAGAGCUUUUGAUUUUAUACAUCCACUAAAAUUUAUCCCAUGAUUUUUAUAAUUUUCUAUAGUACCAGACCAACUUAGUUGGCCAAGCCUGCUCCCAAACCAUAACACUACCAGUUUGCUACCGUAGUCCAAGGUCAAAAUCAUACAAAACACAAGCUAUGGUGCACCAAAACAUAACAAAAACACUUAAACAUUUCAAUUUUAGAAGUCUGAAACACCACAUGUUUAAUCUGACAGUGAGUUUUUCAACUCCUUUUUCUCUAAAUUCAGCAAGCCAACUCUCUGUAUGAUACUUUCUCUCCUUGACAUGAUCUUUCACUUUGCUAUAGCAUUCUUACCCCAAUUCUUCUUGGAUUAAUUACCACAAGGACCCAAAUUUGAAUAAAAACACACAAAUUCAGACUUAAAUAUUAUUCUAAGUCUGAAUCCCAACACCUGACAGUCCAUCUUUUGGCCACUUUUACUCCCAACUUUAUGUGAAAUCAGGUCCAUCACACUUUAGCAAACUUGUUCACUUUACUAUGGUCUACAACUUUGCUAUGGAACCCUUAAUCCAAAACCCCAUGAAUCAGUCACAAAUGAAUUCCAAACUAGGCAUACUGCUGCAAUUCAGUUUAUAGAACUGAAUAAAAAAAUUCAGUUGUGUCCAGCCUGACAGUCCAACUUUAGCCAACCUUUUCUCCAACUUUUACACAGCAACAGACCAAGCUCACAUUACCAAAGUUAUUCCUUAGAUAUAGCUCUACUACUUUGGUAUAGCACCCCUAGGUUUAAAACAUUCAGAACAAUUUUUAUGAAGCACCAAAGUGGAGCUCAACACACUAAAACCUAGUUUCAGCCUUAUGCACUAAGUCUGGGAUCCAGAAAUCUGACAGCCUAUGUUUGAGCAAAUUUCACACCUAGUUCCCAGCAAUAAACAGUGGUAGAGUUCAAGAACUAACUUGUGUGAGCUUCAUCGACCAACAAAGAUUACCGAACAAGCAACAUGGACAAUUACCUGCUGGAGUUACUCUGGCUACGGCAAGGUGAAGUUCCACUGACCUAAACUGAAGGACACUGAUCAAGG
This 2972-nucleotide long non-coding RNA is filed under the name Zea mays. RNAcentral's name for it is "long non-coding RNA (ZMAY_LNC002617)". The record is from RNAcentral. Lineage: Eukaryota; Viridiplantae; Streptophyta; Magnoliopsida; Poales; Poaceae.